RNAcentral lists this ribosomal RNA (447 nucleotides) under bacterium LE2020. Its description in RNAcentral is "bacterial SSU rRNA". It matches the Rfam family "Bacterial small subunit ribosomal RNA", at positions 28 to 455 of the family's 1533-position model. The record is from RNAcentral.
GAUGAACGCUGGCGGCGUGCCUAACACAUGCAAGUCGAACGGAAACUAGGCGCUUCGGAGACUUCGGUCAAUGUUUGCUUAGUUUUAGUGGCGGACGGGUGAGUAACGCGUGGAUAACCUGCCUCAUACAGGGGGAUAACAGUUAGAAAUGACUGCUAAUACCGCAUAAGCGCACGGGAUCGCAUGUUUCUGUGUGAAAAACUCCGGUGGUAUGAGAUGGAUCCGCGUCUGAUUAGCUAGUUGGCGGGGUAACAGCCCACCAAGGCGACGAUCAGUAGCCGGCCUGAGAGGGUGAACGGCCACAUUGGGACUGAGACACGGCCCAAACUCCUACGGGAGGCAGCAGUGGGGGAUAUUGCACAAUGGGGGAAACCCUGAUGCAGCGACGCCGCGUGAGUGAAGAAGUAUUUCGGUAUGUAAAGCUCUAUCAGCAGGGAAGAUAAUGAC